CAGGGCUCUAACACCUAAAGUGUCCAGUUUCAGGGAUUCAUCCUAAACGUGUUGGACAUCGGGGGCCAGAGGGAGAUCAGAUCCUACUGCAGGGACUGCUUUGAAGACACAGAUGUCCUGAUCUACGUCAUCGACAGCGUGGAUAAGAAGAGGUUCGAGGAAAUGGGGCAGGACGGCAUGAACUGGGUUUGCAAAAACCUCAACUCCAAGAAGAAGUAGCUCCUCUUCAUCUUCGUCUUGAGCGCAGGAAGGACACACUCACACUAUGACUGAGAGUGCACCCUGGGUCUGAGCAGGAAUAAAUAUAAUUUAUCAAAAGCAUUAGUAGAACUCAUAAAACUAUUAUUAGGCCAUACCAAACAGCAUUGCAAGAACUCAAAACAACUGGCUCAGGAACUAAAAACCGUCAAAGUACAAACCGAUGAAAUAUUAAUAUUUCACAAUGUAGUAUCCCUGUUCACAAAAACUCCCAUAAACGUCACCUUACACGUAGUCGGAAACCGCUUCCGGACAGAUAGAUCACUACACAAACGAACCAAUCCUACAGUAGAAGACAUAACCCGGCUCCUUCAUUUCAUUUCCACAUCCACAUACUUCAAAUACAAAGGAAAACUAGAAAAGCAGUCAGAGAGCGCAGACCUCCACCAAGGACUACCUCCAUUUUUUAUAUAAAUUGCGAUAAAAUCAGUCUUCUGGAUCAGCCUUUGGAAUAUGAAAGAGGAUCCCAUUGUCCAUCCCUGAGUCAAAUUUCAUGGGGUUUGGUCAAUAAUUAACCGAGAUAUUGAGAAACUAAUUUUUUGGCCCCAUUUACCACAAUGUUAACUAAAAUUUCAAAGUGAUCCAGAAUCCAGGAUUUCUUCCGGAUCACCCCCAAAAUGAAAUCAGUUCUUCCUUUUCACAUUUCCAACAAAUCCUGAAAAUUUCAUCAAAAUCGGUCCAUAACUUUUUGAGUUAUGUUGCUAACAGACAAACAAACAAACAAACAGACAAACGCUGGCAAAAACAUAACCUCCUUGGCGGAGGUAAAUAUAUGGGGGGACCCUUAUCUGCCAUCAUGAGUGGGUUCUUCAUGGAGGACCUGCAGGAGAACGCCAUAAGGACAGCACCAACGACAUGCGGACUCACUAUGUGGAGAAGAUACGUGGAAGACAUACUGGAAAAGAUUAAAAAUGGACACACACAAGAGCUAACAGACCACCUAAACACAAUAGACAGACACAAUUCACACACGAAGAAGAAACAAACAAUACCAUAAAUUUCCUGGACAUGAACAUCACACACAGGGAAGAUGGCAGCAUCAAAAUAAAAAUACACAGAAAACCAACUCACACUGACUAGUAUCUCUUACAGACAUCUGAACAUCUCACAGCCCACAAACUCUCAGUGGUAAGACAUUUGUUUGACAGAACCAAUAUCAUAACUGUUACGAACUGGCUCAGGGUUCCAACAAGGAGAGUCCACACAUGUUUAAAAAAGCACAAAAAUAGAUAUUUAUUUUAAAACAAGGUGCAACUAAAGUUGUGGCCGCACAGUGGAGAGGAGAGAAGAGGCUCCAGCAGCCAGUUUUAAAGGUGACGGGCCACACCCAC
Molecule: long non-coding RNA, 1589 nt
Organism: Boleophthalmus pectinirostris (great blue-spotted mudskipper)
Lineage: Eukaryota; Metazoa; Chordata; Actinopteri; Gobiiformes; Gobiidae
Exons: 3
Source: RefSeq, a predicted model, not a curated record